UACAGAGGUGGCAAGCGUUGUUCGGAAUUACUGGGCGUAAAGGGCUCGUAGGCGGCCAACUAAGUCGGAUGUGAAAUCCCCAGGCUUAACUUGGGAACUGCAUCCGAUACUGGAUGGCUUGAAUCCGGGAGAGGGAUGCGGAAUUCCAGGUGUAGCGGUGAAAUGCGUAGAUAUCUGGAGGAACACCGGUGGCGAAGGCGGCAUCCUGGACCGGCAUUGACGCUGAGGAGCGAAAGCCAGGGGAGCAAACGGG
RNAcentral lists this ribosomal RNA (253 nucleotides) under uncultured bacterium. RNAcentral's name for it is "partial 16S ribosomal RNA". It matches the Rfam family "Bacterial small subunit ribosomal RNA", at positions 524 to 776 of the family's 1533-position model. The record is from RNAcentral.